RNAcentral lists this long non-coding RNA (35854 nucleotides) under Manihot esculenta (cassava). RNAcentral describes it as "long non-coding RNA (MESC_LNC007235)". Lineage: Eukaryota; Viridiplantae; Streptophyta; Magnoliopsida; Malpighiales; Euphorbiaceae. The record is from RNAcentral.
GAACUAAACUUAAUGCUUUUGAAUUGAUCAAUGACAUGUUUUAGCAUAUCUCAUGCAUCAUGAUUAUGCAAUAAGUUGAAUGCAUUAGUAUCCACGAAUAUGUUGCAUUGCAUUGUUAUUUGUUGAUGUGGGUAAAUGCUGAAUGAUCCCAUAGUCACAGACAGGAAGACCAGGAGCCUUUGACUACGCCCUGGCAAGUAUAGUGAAGUCCAGGAGCCUUUGACUACGCCCUGGCAGGUAUAUAGUAAAGUCCAGGAGCCUUUGACUACGCCCUGGCAAUGGUAAGUACAAUGGUGUUAUAUACACAUAUACAUAUAUGACAGGAAGUCCAGGAGCCUUUGACUACGCCCUGGCACAGAGUUACUGAGACUAUGUGGUGACAGGUUUACUCUUGAUGUGAAAUGUUUGUGUUAUGACGCAUUCCAUGAGAGCAUCUGUUAAUGAUUUGUUUUACCGUUCUACUCACUGGGCUAUAGAGCUCAUCCCACUCCCUUCAUCCCAGUUUUGUAGGUUCAGUGUACAGUGUACAGGGCAAGUGAGCAGAACACAGAAAAAGGAAAGAGAAAUGUAAUAGUGUAGAGUGGGCAUGUAUUAUUUCUGUUAUAGUUCCAGAUGUGCUUGACUUAGUACUUCGUAGUUUGUGUGGUAAAUCCAUGGUUAUGUACAUGAUCUGUAUAUGUAUAUGCUUUAUUGUAUGUGAAAACCAGGCUUAACAGGUAUGAAUGAACCCAUCUAGAGCAAGCUCUAGUCAGGGGUACAGAGUACAGAGUACAGAGAUAAUGCAUGCACAGGUUAAGCCUUGGGUCAGUAAAGAGUUUUUAUUGUCACAGUAAAUGUAUGAUCAUGUAUGAGAUUUACACAGAGAGUAUAGCAGGCUUGCUACGGGUUCUGACGGCCUUAAGCCGACCUGAAUCCUAGCGCCGGUGACGGUCCAUUUUGGGGUCGUUACAGAUUGGUAUCAGAGCUCUAGGUUCACAUGAUCGGACCUAUAGAGAUAGUGUCGGGCUCAUAGAGAUUAGAGUGGUCAAGCACAAUAGGAAAUCAUGUCCACUAGGAUAGGGUGAUGAGUCCUAUCUCGUAUUGCUAUGAGAUGCCAUGAGUUGUGCAUGUGUCUUAUUGUUAUGUGUUGUGAUGUUUAUGUGCUAAAGUGCUAUGUUAUGUGUUUUCAGAACGUAAAGAUGAGAGGAACUCGUCGAUCAGCUCGAUUGACUGGAGUCCCACCAGAGAGUGAGAGACCAGCUGCUCGUCCUCCUGCAUUGCCGAGGGCAAGGUCUCAGAGAUCUAGCAGGGAAGGUACGUCAAUAGACCCUAGAAGGUCUGUGGACGAGAGCAAAAGAGGUACAGCGAGAGGAGGAAGAUCAGAGGAAGCUAUGGAGAUUGAUCAGUCGAGGGAUGACAGCAUGGGUAUAGGCAGAUUUGAGGAAGGUAUGGGAGAGUCGCAGGGAGGCGCUCAGACGUCAGGUUUUGGCUACCCAGAGUAUCCGAUGGGAGGUAUGUCGGAGUACUCUAGUUUUGUCCCAUAUCCUCCUUACAUGCCCUAUAUGCCUUAUCCUCCUUAUUACCCAUCAUAUCCUAUGUAUCCAUCUUCCCCUACUCAUCCAAGUACAGCACACCCAGAGCCAAAUGAACCAGUACCACCACCAGAACCAGUAGCCCCUGUUGUUGACAGACAUCAACCUAGCUCAUCUGGAGGUAAGGUACAAAUGAUGGAGUACUUGAAAUUGGAUGCUCCUAAAUACAACACGGGAGAUGAUCCAUUUGAAUACCUCAGAUCAGUUAGGAUGAUAACCAGUGAGUUGGGAGCUGAUGAUAGUCGGGCCAUUGAGAUGGUAGGUUUCACAUUAAAAUGCAAGAAGGCUAGAGAAUGGUUCAAGAAUUAUGUGGAACCCAGAAUGGACAAUAUGUCUUGGGGAGAGUUCGCCAAUGAAUUUGCAGGGUGGGCUUUUCCUGAUAGCUCCAGGGAGAUGAAAGUAAUAGAGUUUGAACAGUUGCGACAGACAGAUGAGAUGAGUGUGGAUGAAUUCACGGAUAAGUUCCUGGAUUUGCUUCAGUAUGUGGGUCAAGCCUAUGAUACUGACCAGAAGAAGGCAAGGAGAUAUACUAUGAGACUGCAUCCCAGGUAUUCUUCCUUGAUUCUUCCAGUAGAAAAGGAGAGUUUUCAUACAAUAGUAGACGCAGCCAGGAAAAUGGAAGCAAGUGCCAAUAUUCAGAAACAGUCAAAGGCACAGGCUUCGGGUUCUAAGGCCCCUAGUUCAGCAGCCGCAGGCAGCAAGAGAUGGGAUAGAGCAAAAGGAACAAAGAGUAAGUUCUGGAGUAAAGUGAAGUCAGGUCUGGGAAUAGGUAGUGGCUCUAGCUCUGGCACAGCUCCAGUCUGCAGAAGAUGCGGAAAACCACAUGGCGGAGUUUGUCGGUUGGGAUCUACAGCAUGUUUUAAAUGUGGACAGGAAGGACAUAUUGCUCGGGAUUGUCCUCAGAUGACUUUUGCACCAUCCCAGCAGAUGAGUUCAGGCAGUGUGGUACAGCCAGUUGUUCGGCCAGCAGCGCCAGGCAUGCCUCAGAGUAGUGGCAGAGGUAGAGGAAGAGGGGCAGCCUCUACUUCAGCAGCAGGUUCCCGAGGUGGAAAUCCGGUAGCCCCAGCACGGAUUUUCACUGUGACACAGGAGGAGGCUAACACGUCGAACGCAGUGGUGUCAGGUAAUCUCAUCAUUGGGUGUUCAGAUGUGUAUGCUUUGAUGGACCCCGGUGCUUCUCAUUCCUUUAUUGCUUCAAAAGCCAUAGAGAGAUUGGGUUUGAUCAGUUCUGAGUUAGAGUAUCCUCUCUGGGUCAGUGGACCUAAAUGUGACCCAUCAGUGGCAGUGUCAGUCUGUCGUUUCAGUCCAGUAUUUAUAGAGGGUAGAUACCUUCCAGCUGACCUUGUGGUUCUAGAUUUGACGGAUUUUGAUGUCAUUCUAGGGAUGGAUUGGUUAUCUACAUAUAGUGCUACUUUGGAUUGUAGAGAGAAGCGAGUGAGUCUCAGAGACCAGGAUGGGUCAGAGUGUGUCUUCAGAGGAGAUAGGAGAGGUACACCCAGAGGUAUGAUUUCAGCCCUUCAAGCUCGUCGUUUGCUUAGGAGGGGUUGUCAGGGGUUUCUAGCUCAUGUGAGAGAGCUAGACAGUCAGGUGAGGGAACCAGCCGCAGUACCAGUAGUCCGAGAGUUUCUCGAUGUGUUCCCAGACGAUUUACCAGGACUACCACCUGAUAGGGAGAUAGGGUUUGAAAUUGAAUUGCUGCCAGGUACCAGACCUAUCUCUAUUCCUCCCUACAGGAUGGCGCCAGCAGAGUUAAAAGAGUUGAAAGAGCAGUUGCAGGACUUGGUAGAUAAAGGGUUCAUCCGUCCUAGUACCUCACCUUGGGGUGCUCCAGUGCUCUUCGUCAGAAAGAAGGAUGGAUCCCUCAGACUUUGUAUUGACUACAGACAGUUGAACAAGGUCACUACCAAGAAUAGGUAUCCUUUACCUCGGAUUGACGAUCUGUUUGACCAGCUAGCUGGAGCAGGUUGUUUCUCGAAAAUAGAUCUGAGAUCCGGGUAUCAUCAGUUGAGAGUCAGAGAGGCAGAUGUGCCUAAGACAGCUUUCAGAACUAGAUAUGGGCAUUAUGAGUUCUUAGUGAUGCCGUUCGGGUUGACUAACGCCCCUGCCGCAUUUAUGGAUCUCAUGAACAGAGUUUUCAGUGAGUUUCUGGAUCACUUUGUCAUUGUUUUCAUCGAUGAUAUUUUAGUGUAUUCCAGAGAUGCAGAGGAGCAUGCCCAGCAUCUGAGGAUAGUUCUGCAGACAUUGAGAGAGCAUGGUUUGUAUGCCAAGUUCUCAAAGUGUGAGUUUUGGUUGAGGAGCAUUUCCUUCUUGGGACAUGUGGUGUCAGCAGAGGGUAUUGAGGCAGACCCCAAGAAGAUAGAGGCUGUAGCUAACUGGCCCAGACCCACGACAGUGACUGAGAUUAAAAGCUUUCUGGGACUGGCAGGGUACUACAAGAGGUUCGUUGAGAACUUCUCAAAGAUAGCGGCUCCUAUGACCAAAUUGACUCAGAAGAACCAGAAGUUUGUCUGGUCAGCCCAGUGUGAAGAGAGCUUUGAGGAGCUCAAGAAGAGAUUGACCACAGCACCAGUGUUAGCUCUGCCUGUGAGUCAUAAGGAUUUCAUAGUGUUCUGUGAUGCAUCUCGAGUGGGAUUGGGUUGUGUUUUGAUGCAGAGUGAUAGGGUGAUAGCUUAUGCUUCGAGACAGGUGAAGAAGCACGAGUUGAAUUACCCCACCCAUGACCUCGAGAUGGCAGUAGUUAUCUUUGCACUUAAGAUGUGGCGGCAUUACCUCUACGGGGUUAAAUGCGAGAUCUUCACUGAUCAUAAGAGUUUACAGUACAUCUUGAGUCAAAGAGAGCUGAAUUUGAGGCAGAGAAGAUGGGUCGAAUUGCUCAGUGAUUAUGAUUGUACGAUCCAGUAUCAUCCGGGUAAGGCGAAUGUGGUGGCAGACGCCCUAAGCCGGAAAUCACUAGGCAGUUUAUCCCAUAUAACAGCAGAGCGGAGACCCAUAGUGGUGGAGUUUUACAAGCUCAUAGAAGAGGGAUUACAGUUCGAGUUGUCUGGUACAGGUGCGUUGAUAGCACAGAUGAGAGUGACACCUGUGUUUCUAGAGCAGAUAGCUCAGAGACAACACGAGGACCCUGAGUUAAUGAAAAUUGCCAGGACUGUUCAGUCAGGCAAUAGCGCAGAGUUUAGAUUUGAUAGCAAAGGGAUUCUCCGCUAUGGGAGUCGACUUUGUGUACCAGAUAGAGGCAGUGUGAAAGAAGACAUUAUGAGGGAAGCUCAUAAUGCGAGGUAUAGUGUUCACCCAGGAGCCACCAAGAUGUACCAGGAUUUAAAACGGAUUUAUUGGUGGCCAGCCAUGAAAAAAGAAGUGGCGCAAUUUGUGACAGCCUGUGAGGUUUGCCAGAGGGUGAAACUAGAGCAUCAAAAACCAGCAGGAAUGCUUAACCCAUUACCGAUUCCAGAAUGGAAAUGGGAAAACAUAGCUAUGGAUUUUGUAGUGGGUUUACCAGCAGCGUCCAACAGGAUAGACUCGAUAUGAGUGAUUGUGGAUAGACUCACGAAAUCUGCUCAUUUUCUUCCAGUUCGGAGUACCUAUUCUGUGGAUAAGUUGGCACAGGUCUAUCUAGAUGAGAUAGUGAGAUUACAUGGUGUUCCAGUAUCAAUAGUCUCAGAUAGAGGACCUCAGUUUACCUCUAGAUUUUGGCGAAGUCUGCAGAGUGCGAUGGGCACGAGAUUAGAGUUUAGCACUGCUUUCCACCCACAGACUAAUGGACAGUCAGAGAGGACCAUCCAGACCAUAGAGGAUAUGCUUCGACUGUGUGUGUUAGACUUUGGCGGUUCUUGGAGGCAGCAUCUACCUUUGGUGGAGUUUGCCUACAAUAACAGCCAUCAUGCUAGCAUAGGGAUGGCUCCGUAUGAAGCGUUGUAUGGGAGGAAAUGCAGAUCCCCUGUUUGUUGGGAAGAGAUAGGAGAGAAGGCUCUUGUAGGGCCAGAGUUAGUCGAGAUUACUAGUAGAGUGGUGCCCAUGAUCAGAGAUAGAAUCAGGACAGCGCAGAGUAGACAGAAAAGUUAUGCAGACGUUCGCAGAAAGCAGUUAGAGUUUCAGGAGGGUAAUUGGGUAUUGCUAAAAGUAUCUCCAAUGAAAGGCGUGAUUCGUUUUGGGAAGAAGGGUAAAUUAGCUCCACGGUACAUUGGACCCUUUGAGGUGUUGCAGAGGAUCGGAAAUGUGUAGUAUAAGCUGGAUUUACCUGCUUCUAUGGAGAGGAUUCACCCGGUCUUUCAUGUUUCUAUGCUACGACAGUUUGUGUCAGAUCCGAAGCAGGUUCUGAGUGAGCCUGAGGUGGAGAUUCAUACAGAUCUCACCUAUAUAGAGCAGCCAGUGCGGAUUGUGGACACACAGAUCAGACAGCUAAGGAACAAGGAGAUUCCGAUGGUGAAAGUCCUAUGGAACCACCAUAAUGUAGAAGAGUGCACCUGGGAGACGCGGGAGUCUAUGCUCCAGCAGUAUCCAUAUCUAUUUUGAGGUUAGUUUCCUCCUUUUUGUAUGUUUAUGGUUUGUUUUAGGAACAUCCGAGGACGAAUGUUCUUAAGGGGGGGAGAAUGUAAUACCCGGUUAGAGUCCGGCGUCGGCAUUCCUGUUUUCCGGUGGAAUCCAGGAUGUCGAAGUGUGUUAUGUGUUACUACGUGUUAACAUGUGAUUUAUGUGUGUUGUUAGUUGAAUUGAUUUGAGUUGGUUUAAGGUUGGAAGAGAAAAGCUAUGGAGAUGUUUGCCAAGUUCGGCCGCCGNNNNNNNNNNNNNNNNNNNNNNNNNNNNNNNNNNNNNNNNNNNNNNNNNNNNNNNNNNNNNNNNNNNNNNNNNNNNNNNNNNNNNNNNNNNNNNNNNNNNNNNNNNNNNNNNNNNNNNNNNNNNNNNNNNNNNNNNNNNNNNNNNNNNNNNNNNNNNNNNNNNNNNNNNNNNNNNNNNNNNNNNNNNNNNNNNNNNNNNNNNNNNNNNNNNNNNNNNNNNNNNNNNNNNNNNNNNNNNNNNNNNNNNNNNNNNNNNNNNNNNNNNNNNNNNNNNNNNNNNNNNNNNNNNNNNNNNNNNNNNNNNNNNNNNNNNNNNNNNNNNNNNNNNNNNNNNNNNNNNNNNNNNNNNNNNNNNNNNNNNNNNNNNNNNNNNNNNNNNNNNNNNNNNNNNNNNNNNNNNNNNNNNNNNNNNNNNNNNNNNNNNNNNNNNNNNNNNNNNNNNNNNNNNNNNNNNNNNNNNNNNNNNNNNNNNNNNNNNNNNNNNNNNNNNNNNNNNNNNNNNNNNNNNNNNNNNNNNNNNNNNNNNNNNNNNNNNNNNNNNNNNNNNNNNNNNNNNNNNNNNNNNNNNNNNNNNNNNNNNNNNNNNNNNNNNNNNNNNNNNNNNNNNNNNNNNNNNNNNNNNNNNNNNNNNNNNNNNNNNNNNNNNNNNNNNNNNNNNNNNNNNNNNNNNNNNNNNNNNNNNNNNNNNNNNNNNNNNNNNNNNNNNNNNNNNNNNNNNNNNNNNNNNNNNNNNNNNNNNNNNNNNNNNNNNNNNNNNNNNNNNNNNNNNNNNNNNNNNNNNNNNNNNNNNNNNNNNNNNNNNNNNNNNNNNNNNNNNNNNNNNNNNNNNNNNNNNNNNNNNNNNNNNNNNNNNNNNNNNNNNNNNNNNNNNNNNNNNNNNNNNNNNNNNNNNNNNNNNNNNNNNNNNNNNNNNNNNNNNNNNNNNNNNNNNNNNNNNNNNNNNNNNNNNNNNNNNNNNNNNNNNNNNNNNNNNNNNNNNNNNNNNNNNNNNNNNNNNNNNNNNNNNNNNNNNNNNNNNNNNNNNNNNNNNNNNNNNNNNNNNNNNNNNNNNNNNNNNNNNNNNNNNNNNNNNNNNNNNNNNNNNNNNNNNNNNNNNNNNACAGGAAGACCAGGAGCCUUUGACUACGCCCUGGCAAGUAUAGUGAAGUCCAGGAGCCUUUGACUACGCCCUGGCAGGUAUAUAGUAAAGUCCAGGAGCCUUUGACUACGCCCUGGCAAUGGUAAGUACAAUGGUGUUAUAUACACAUAUACAUAUAUGACAGGAAGUCCAGGAGCCUUUGACUAUGCCCUGGCACAGAGUUACUGAGACUAUGUGGUGACAGGUUUACUCUUGAUGUGAAAUGUUUGUGUUAUGACGCAUUCCAUGAGAGCAUCUGUUAAUGAUUUGUUUUACCGUUCUACUCACUGGGCUAUAGAGCUCAUCCCACUCCCUUCAUCCCAGUUUUGCAGGUUCAGUGUACAGUGUACAGGGCAAGUGAGCAGAACACAGAAAAAGGAAAGAGAAAUGUAAUAGUGUAGAGUGGACAUGUAUUAUUUCUGUUAUAGUUCCAGAUGUGCUUGACUUAGUACUUCGUAGUUUGUGUGGUAAAUCCAUGGUUAUGUACAUGAUCUGUAUAUGUAUAUGCUUUAUUGUAUGUGAAAACCAGGCUUAACAGGUAUGAAUGAACCCAUCUAGAGCAAGCUCUAGUCAGGGGUACAGAGUACAGAGUACAGAGAUAAUGCAUGCACAGGUUAAGCCUUGGGUCAGUAAAGAGUUUUUAUUGUCACAGUAAAUGUAUGAUCAUGUAUGAGAUUUACACAGAGAGUAUAGCAGGCUUGCUACGGGUUCUGGCGGCCUUAAGCCGACUUGAAUCCUAGCGCCGGUGACGGUCCAUUUUGGGGUCGUUACAUUAUUCUUCUUGGACUUCCUGUGGCCUCUGUCCCACUUCUUACUGCCUGAAGCUGCUGAACUCAAGGAAGAAGGAUCCAACUUUCCCCCACCUGGGGUCUUGGAAUCAGAAGACUGUGCCACUGACUGCUUAACUCUUCCCUCGAUUAUGGCACUAGCCUCCAUCCUCCGAGCCAUAUCCACUAUGGCAUGGAAACUCUCCCUCUCUGCUGACUGGAUCAAGGAGGAAUACCUGGAAUGAAGCUUCAUGAUAUACCUCCUUGACUUCUUCUGAUCUGUGUCAAGAUUCUGCCCAGCAAAUGGCAACAGCUCCAAGAACCUGUCUGUAUACUCAUCCACACUCAUCUCAUCUGACUGCCUCAACUGCUCAAAUUCAAUCAUCUUCAAUUCCCUUGAACUGUCAGGGAAAGCCCAUCCUGCAAACUCAUUUGCAAACUCCUCCCAUGAUAGGCUGUCCAACCUCGGUUUCACAUAGUUUUUAAACCACUCUCGGGCCUUCUUGCAUUUUAGUGUGAACCCAGCCAUCUGAAUGGCGCUACUGUCAUCAGCUCCUAUCUCAUCUGUAAUCAUCUUGACCCUCUCAAGAUACACAAAUGGGUCAUCACCGGUUUCAUACUGGGGAGCACCCAGCUUCAUGUAGUCGGUCAUCUUGACCUUGCUCCCUCCAGAUGAGCUAGGUUUAGGCAUUUGGGUUUCUGGGACAGUAGGUGCUACUGGUGGUGGAGGAGGUGCAGCAUCCCCUGGGGUAGGGUUUGCUGUACCUGGGUAGAAGGACGGGGGUGGGUACAUAGGAUACUGUGGGUAUGGUGGGUAGAAAGGUGGGUAUGGCAUGUGAGAAGAGUAAGGAUUAAAGCUGGGGUAAUCCGAUGUACCUCCCAUCGAAUACCCGGGGUUCUGUGAAAAUGGUGGGUACUGGGGUGGCUGAACAAAUCCCGAGGCCUGAGUGCCUCCUUGGGACUCUCCCAUACCCUCCUCCGACAUACUCACUCCAAGACUGCCAUCCCUCCUCUGAUCCACAUCCAUAUCAUCCCCCACAUCCUCUGACAUUCCUCCUUGAACUGUUCCUCUUACUGAUCUGCUUCUGUUCAUAUCCAAAGACCUUCUAGGAUCUCUCACUGCUCUUUCCCUGCUAGACCUGCUAGACAUUGCCCUUGGCAAUGCAGGGGGACGGGCACUCAUGGCCUCAUCCUCCGGUGGUACUCCAGUCAAUCGUGCAGAUCGACGAGUUCCUCUCAUCUUGCUUACUGAAAAACAACACAUAACACAUAAAACAUUAGCAUCAAAUGGUUCAUGUGCAAACACAUGAACCCGCAUCACAUACAUAACAUAUCAUUAAUGCACAUGUAUAAAAUCAUGGCAUUUCACAUCAACAUUCAAGACAGGACUGUACAUCCUAUCCUAGUGGACAUGAUUUUUCCUAUUGUGCUUGACCUUCUAGAACAUCUAUGAGCCCGACACUCUAGGUCCGACCACAUGAACCUAGGGCUUUGAUACCAAUCUGUAACGACCCGAAAAUCGGACCGCUACCGGCGCUAGGAUCCGGAUCGGCUUAAGGCCGCCGGGACCCGUAGCAAGCCCAUCAUAAAACCUGUAAACCUGUGAAAUCCCAUACAUGAUCAACACACACAUAAAAAUUUGAACUUUUCUCAUUCAAUUUCCAAACUCAACCUGUGCAUGCACAACUCAUAAUCAUCAUUCCCCUCAUUAGAGUCCUCAACUAUGCUCCAAUGGGAAACAUUCAUUCAUACAUUAAGUUUGGUUUUCAUAAAAUAUCAUUACAUUUGAAAGAUCAUGUAUUAAAAGGGAUAAACCACAUACUAGGGUCAAGCACCACUCUAAUCCUCAAUAACAUCAUUACAUUACAUAAUUAUUCCAUACUAUUCAUUACAUUUCAACAUUUAUCAUGUCCACCACUAGCUAUUACAUGACCACAACUUUACUCUAGCUGACCUCCUGGUCUACCCCGUACCUGCAAACCUGGAGAAAUAGGGGAGUGGGGUGAGCUACUAGAGCCCAGUGAGCAAAAUAAUGAAACAUAGUAUUUAAAACGUAUGAUAACAUGGAAUGCAUCACAGCACAGACAAAUCACAUCAAGGAUGAACUUGUCACCAGUUAGUCCUCUAUACUGUUUAAACAUGCCAGGGGCGUAGAGCAGGCACGCCUGGACUUCCAUAGCAUAACAUACAUAUCCAAUCAUGCCAGGGGCAUAGUGCAGGCCACACCCGGACUUUCUCUUACAUUGUGCCAGGGGCGUAGAGUAGGCACGCCUGGACUUCCAUAUCAUAUCAUCAUAUCAUAACAUAUGAGGGCUAAUGGAUCAUUCAACGUUCAUCCACAUCAACAACAUAAUAUGCAAUGCAACAUAUUCGUGGAUUCUAAUGCAAGCAUCCUAGUAUAUCUCAUGGCAUUCAUGAUGCGUGAAUCAUGCUAAAACUUACAUUAUUUGCUUUAAAAUGUAGAGAGUUAUUCCACUCACCUCUGGCUAGCUCUGACAGACACUGAAGCAGCUGACUCACUGCUGGGGUCCUUGGUUCCUCGGGUCCGAACCUACACAGGUGGACUCAAAUGAGGGACCAAACAUACAUAAACAUGACUCUACAGGCAGCCAAAAGUUGGCCUCCACAGGCAGGCUCGGCGGCCGAAAGAGCCUUCGACUGCCGAAUCUGGAUCCUCCCAAAGUGGCAGAACCCAGCCUUUCUCAUGCACAAACGCCUCCCAACUCAUUCAAUCAUGCAUUUUCCUAUUCUACAACAUGCAUACUCAAGCAUAUAAGCUCCUAGGGGCUUCAAACUAUCUUAAACCCCAACUACAACACAUCAAACAUGCAUUUUCAACAUACAUUGUUCAUAAACACACAUUUAACCAAAAACUCAUCAUAAACCUACACAUGCAUUUCUACCCCAAGAAACUUCAUAAAACUUACUUAAAACAUGAAAUGAACUAUGGAUCUACUCUUACCUCUUGAAAAACGAGAGGAGAGACAAUCCUAGCUCGGAGAUGGGGAGAAAUCAGCUCUUAGGUCUCCAAGCUUCAAAACUUGCUCUUUUUGUUCAAAUAUCUUCAAAUCAACAUAAAGCUUGUUAAAACAUGAAAGAUCCGAGGAAAAACAUCAAAGAUCAACCAUGGGAGAGCAGGAACUCACCGUGGCCAAAAAUGGAGAGAAAACUCGCCCGUUUCGGCCAUGGAGUCCUUUUAUAGGGGUUGCCAGACCACCUUUCGGCAGCCUAAAGUGCCUCCAAAACUCAUGCAAGUUCGGCGGCCGAAUAUGAGGUUUGGCGAUCGAACCUUUGAAACUUUCGGAAGCCUAACUUGCCCCCCUAAACUAUCCAAUGUUCGGCGGCCGAACUUGAGGUUCGGUGGCCGAACUUGGAAAUGCCUCCUUGGUCUUUUUCAUUCAAAACUCAAUUUCCUUUCUUUCCUAAAACCAUAAAAUACAUUAAAACAUUUUAUGAAAACAUGGUUUUACCCUUCUAGAGGUUUUCGACAUCCGAGAUUCCACCGGGUGGUAGGAAUUCUGAUACCGGAGUCUAGCCGGGUAUUACAUGGACCACAAUUUCAUUUUCUUUUGCUUAUAUGAACACUGACUCCACCUUCGGAAUAUGGUGGGUUCAGUGUUUCUCAAGAAAAUUAAGGAAAUAAGGAACAAUGGGACCAUAGAGAGAGAAGUUUUGAUAGAGAAAGAGACAGAGAGAGCAUGAGAGAGGGACAAGGCUUCAACAGAGAUAGACAGGGCGCGAUAGAGAAGGAUAAGUUUCGAUAGAGAUAGAGGGGUUUAGUUUCGACAGAGAGAGAGAGAGAUAAAGAGAGCACGAGAGAAAGAGACAAAGCUGAGAGAGAGAGAAGUUUAGACAAAGACAAAGAAAGCAUGAGAGAGAAAGAAAUUUAGACAAAGACAGAGAGAGCAUGAGAGAGAGAGAGAGAAGAAAGAGGGAGAAGAAAGAGCGAUAGGGUUUUGUGAUUUUGAAGUAUAGGGACUUUUGGUGAAGGUCAAUUUUGUAAAUUCACGUGUCCCAAACGGCUAUUUUGGACGGAAGGACUAUGAAUUUGGACGGAAGAGAAAGUGAGGGACUUAAGUGUUGGGUCGUCAAAAUAGAGGGACAGAAGUGUUAAUUACGUUAAACCUCAGGGACUAAAAAGUAAUUUUUCCUUAUUUUAUAAUUAUUCCUUGAAAGGUAAUUUUCUUUUAAAAUUUUAACUACUUUUAUUAUUUUUACUGUUUUCUUUUUACCUUUCAGAAUUGAAACCUAACUUAUCCUUCUCUUUUCUUUUUCCCUCUCACCUUAGAGCUGAUUAUAUUUUUCUAUACAUGUUUGAGCUUUAUAGAGAUCAUAGAUAAGCCAUCAUGAUUAUUUGAGAUUUAUAUGGUAAAAUUAUUUGAUUUAUUUUAUAAUUGUUCCUUGAAAGGUAAUUUUCUUUUAAAAUUUUAACUGCUUUUAUUGUUUUUACUAUUUUCUUUUUACCUCUCAGAAUUAAAACCUAACUUAUCCUUCUCUUUUCUUUUUCCCUCUCACGCUGUGGACCACUCUCUCUCUCUCUCAACUCUCCCCUCUUUUGCAGACCAGUGAUGGCUAAGAACAAUUCAAUUACUGACUAGUCAGAGACACCACCGACCACCAUGCCCAUGUCUAAGCAAUGGAUAAAAAAAUCCAUCGAACCACACUCAUGACAAGACCAUGGCAACGCUGUUAGUACCUGUAACGACCCAGGAACCAGAUCAUUACCGGCACUAGGGUUCAGAUCGACUUAAGGUCACCGAAACUCGUAGCAAGCCUACUAUCCAUCUUGUUACACCUGAUAAAAUCCCAUACAUGAUCACACGAUAUAAAAAAACCUAAACAUUUCAUGAACCAAGACUCGACCUGUGCAUGCAUCAUAACUGGAAACAUAAAAUCCAUACUAAAGCCCUCAUCAAAUGCUCCAGUAUGGUCAACAUAACAUGCCUCAAGCUCAGUUCAAACAUAAACUCAUAUUUAAAACUUUUACAUAAAGGAUCAUGAAAAACAAAGAUUUCAAGGACAAACACUAGAGUAAAGCACAAUUCUAAUCCAUAAAAUAAUAUAUGUCUGCAACUAUACUAUAACAAAAGGCUAUACCAGCAACUUAGCCGACUUUUCCGAGCUAACUCUGAUCCUGAAAACUUGGGAUUAAGGGAAAGGGAUAAGUUACAAAAGCCUAGUGAGCAGAACAUAAAAAAACAGUUCAAUAAACAUAUGAUCGUAUGAAUGCGUCACAACACAAAUAAUUCAUAUCAAGAUGGACUUCUUAAUAGUAACCCUCUACAGAUUCCAAAAGUGUCUAGCCCAUGACGGGUGCUCCUCAGGACUUCCUCUUAAACAUAAUAUAAUAUAACAUAACAUAACAUAACAUAUCUAUAGUGCUAGGGGCGUAGAAUGAGUCUCAACCUGGACUUUCUCUUACAUAUUUAACAUAACAUAUCCAUAGUGCUAGGGGCAUAGAAUGGGUCUCGACCUAGACUUCCGUAUCCAUCAUAACAUACUCGAGGGCUAGUGGGUCAUCCAACAUCCAUCCACAACAACAACAAUAACUAUGCAAUGCAUCAUAUUCGUGAGUUCUAAUGCAAAACAACCUAAUUUCAUAUACAUGGCAUUCGUGAUGCAUGAGCAUGCUUAAAAAGUUUUGAAUUCUUUGAAAUAAUAGAUCAGUUUAGUUCUACUCACCUCUGGCUGACGCUCACCUAAAACUGAAACAGUUAUCUCACUGCAGACCUCUAUGGUCUUUCAAGUCUUAUCCUACACAGAUGGACUUAAAUGAGAGACCAAACAUAACUUUUACAAUACUCAAAACGACCCCCCAAGAAACCCCUCAAAACAUAUCAGAAUAUACAUAGAAAUCAAGUCUUAUCCUACACAGAUGGACUUAAAUGAGAGACCAAACAUAACUUUUACAAUACUCAAAACAACCCCCCAAGAAACCCCUCACAGAUCCGAAGGUUGAAACCUUCGGGAGCAGGUUAGGCGGCCAAAAGGCUGCCUCCAUAAGCAGGUUCAGCGGCCGAACCUUGCUUCAGCGGUCGAACCUAAGUUCUCUAGCAAGGCAGAAUCUGAUUCUGCCCUAAAUAUGCAGUCUCCAAAAAGCCUCCAAACACACUUGCAAAAGCUUAGAAACAAAAGCACACCCUUAACAUGCAUAAGGGACAUCUAGAUCUAGCUUAAUCCUCAACAUGCAAUAUCAACAACUUGGAAGAAAACACCCAUUAACAACCUGAGGCUCAACCUUUCAACUCAAAGAAAAAUUUAACUUUCAUGCAUCAACAAACCUCCCUAAAAUACCUAUAAAACUUGCUGAAACCUUUAGAAAACAAGAAAAAGGUGAAGAUUAAACUUACCUCUUGAAGAACAGCAAGGUGACAGCAAGCUAGGGGUGGGUUUUGGAGAUGGAGAGAUGAAUUCCGAGGGUUCCAAGAGAUAGGGUUACGAAAAGCAACUUAAACUUCAAAAUAACAGCAGAAAAACAUGAAUUCUUUAAGGGAUUUGGAGAAAUUCAGCAAAAAAACUUAAGAUGUGCAUGAAUUCACCUCUGCUCGAAAAUAGAGAAAGAAAACUCACAUUUUUGAGCUGAUGGCCUUUUAUAGGUGGUUGAGAAAACCAUGUUCAAUGGCCGAAUUUGAAGGUUCAGCGGCCGAACCUUAGGAUUCCUCAAACUCUUCUCUUUCCUUUUUUAUAACACUAUUCCAAAAAUUUCAAAAUUCAUUUUAUGAAAACCUUAUUUUACCCUUCUAAAGAUUACAGCUUUGGGAUUUCGGAUUCCGAUGAAAAUUCCGUCGGAAAGUAGAAAUUCAGACGCCGGAUUUUAGCUGAGUAUUACAGUACCAAAAUAGAUAGCUGAUAGGGAGAAAGUGAAGCUGACCAUGGCAUCACAACCAAAAGCCACUACACCAAUAAUAGUGCCUUCUUUGAUCACAAUAAGACGAGCUACUCACUCACAAGUGAAAGAUAAAGCUCCAAUGCCUAGCAUGCAAGUUGAACUAGAAGAGGAAUAGGAAAUCAAGCCAAAGAUUUUGGAGUAAUUGAAGAAAAGUAAAGAACAACCUAAGACUACCAUGCUGAUUUUGGAGUCUUACACCGAGAGCAACAAUGAGGAUACAACUUCAUAGCAUAGUAGCAAAGAGGUUGCGACCCUAGCAUAGGACGCCGAUGACAGUAGCAGCAACGAGGAGGUACAACAUGUGUCUCCACCAAAAAAGAAGUAGAAGAAGCGAAUGCCAAGAAUGGCUGACAGGAAGGCCAGGUACCUACCCGAAGAACAUGAGCUACAUGGUAGUUUUGAUUUUGAGAGCAACAAUAAAGAAAUGUAUCAAUCUUUUCUCCAUUUUAAUAUUUACCAUUACAAAAGUAUCAAUGAUGUUGCUUUGACAUAAUUGAACAUGUCUGAUGAAGUUUAUAUAUUAAUUGAUAAUAUUGGUUAGAGAAGGUUCUUUGCAAUUAAUUGUCCAUCCUAUUUUGAGUUAUGAAGAAAGCUUUAUACUACCUUUGAAUUCUCAUAUGAUAUUCAAAACUUUAAUUUAAAUACACUCCUUAUUCACUUUAGGUUAAGAGUAAAUUGGUACAUUGCUCUAUUACAAAUUUUAAUCUUCAUUUGGGUAUCUAUGAUCAUGAAUAUGUAAAAACAACUGCGUACUUAGAUUCUUUAUAUUAUUAUCCAGCAUGUUCCAUAAACACAAAGUCACUUUUAGUUUUUAGUUAGCCUCCCAAUUUAAAACUAUUUUUGAUACUAGAUGUGAUAUUUAUUUAGGUCCUGUGAUUUCAAUAUUGGUUGUUGGUAUGGGUCUACUCGAUACACAGAAUACUAAUUUACACACUGAUGAGCACAUUCUUCUUUUAUAUAUUUAUGCACUUAAUUCUAUGGGCUUAUAUUGCCUCAAUGAGAGGAAAGAAAUUGAGUUUUAUCCUCCAGGUCCUAUCAUUCCAACUCGAUCACGCUUAUUUUGAACAUAAGACAAACCAGGCCCAUCUACCUCAGCCUCCUCCAGAAUCUAUUAAUAAUGCCCGGCUAGCUAGAAUUGAAGCCAAAGCAUAUUGAUGCCAAACUGGAUGCGAUACUCUCCCAUUUGAGGUUGCCUAUACCCCAACCAUCAGCUACCUAAAGAUUCAGCAAUGACUUGCUCUUUAGGAAAGUUCUUUAUACUCUCUAUCUUAUUUUUCUAUCUUUUGUAUUGAUGCGCUUCCCCCUUGCUUAUAUUUUGUUACACAUUGAGGACAAUGUGAGGAUAAGUAUGGGGGGAGUAUUGAAGUGUUUUUAUUGUUUCUUUUGUGAUUGCCAUGAUGGUUAUUGUACAUAUUCUUUUAUUAAUAUUUCUGUCAUUCUGUUGUUGUUCUUACACAUUUUUAAAUUCUUGUUGCCAAAUGUGAUAGGCUGGCCCAAGCCUGUCUAUUUCUCAGGCUUGCACUUGCCAUGAGAAGUUUGAGAUGUCCCUAUCAAAGAGUUUUAAGUUUUUAUGCAAUUUGAUGCUAGUUUAAAUAGAAUAAUUUCAUCCUUGUUCAUUUCUUUAGGCUUGUUUUUAAGGCUUGUCAUGAAAGUUCAUGAAGUAUGGUCCUUGUUUAAAUGGUUAGAUAAUGAAUGCAUGCUUAAACUGUUUGUUAUCCUUUGAUAAGAGUGACACUAAGAAAAUUUUAUAGACCAUGUUUUUAUGCUAAAUUAUUCAAGGAUAUUAUAAAAAAGAAACAAAUACACAGUAAAAGUAAAAAAGAAAAAUAAAUCAUUGCACUCCUAUGACUCACUCUUUUAGUCAUUUGGCUAUUUAGUUACCAACCCGAUGGUCCAAGUAGUGUUGUGCUUGGCAACCCUUUAAGGUGAUUCUGUAUAGAAAAAUCAAUGUUUGGGAGAGUAUCAUCCAUUUUGGACCAUUUAAAAACUCACCUCAUACCUUUAGUUGGGUAACUAUGAGUGGAGCUAAUAGCCACCUGAGCUGAAAAAUCUAGGGCAAGUGGCUUAAUAACCAUUUGUUUCAUGUUCACUUCAUCAGUUUCAGGCAAGACAUAGUAGAAAGUGUAAUAAAAUCCCUAAAAAUCUUUAAAUUUUAAUGGUCUGGUCAACAUUUCUAGAAUCUAUUUUCUUGAAGGGGUAGCUUAAUCUUAAAAGAUGGCAUUUUAACUUCUAUGUGUUUAAAUUGAACAAAUGGCCUACUUUAUAUCUUGAGGAAUAUGUUUUAAAAGUGAUACUUGUCGUAGUGAACUUUGGUGAAGUUAAGCUAUUUAUCCUAGUAUCCUAUUGCAUGAUAGUUGUUUCUUUGCUUUGGACAAUGAAAUUUCAAUUAGUUGAAGAUAGGGUUGUGUUUUUGGAAUCUGAAAUUCUAUGCUUGAGGACAAGCAAUGUGCAAGUGUAGGGGAUUCUAAUGAGUUGUUAAACUCAUUAAUUUUUCCAUAUUAAUUUUCAUGAUUUAGUUAUGUUCUUGAUGGUAAAAAGUGGAUAUUUACUUAGAUUUUGAUUUUGGACAGGUUUGGAGCUAAAAAUAUGAAAAGGAACCAACAGAGACACUGCUUUAGAGCUAUUUUGGAUUGAAAAGUUCUGUCUUGUCCAAAGUUGUGACUAAAACUCGACGGACAAACAAUAGAGUUUUGGUUUUGACAGCUGUACAAAAAUCAAAUUAUUUCAAAUAGCUACAAAUACGAUUAGAUCUAGAAUUAGGAUAACAACAUUAGAAGAAUUUGUUGAUUUAUUUUCUUUCUUUUAAAUUUUGAAUAUUUUCUUUAGUCUUUUUGUUAGGAAAAAGCCUAUAUGAGGGCUAUUUUAGAAGUAGGAAUUCAUCUCUCAACUCAUUCCUGAAUUCAUCUCAUCUCUUUCCAUCUCUCGGUUUCUUCAGUCGAACUACUUUCUCUUCUUCUUUUUAUUUUUCUGCAUUUUUGUUAUGACUCUUUUUAUUUUUCUGCAUUUUUGUUAUGACUCUUAGUGGCUAAAUACUCUUUUUCAGUUGAAGGUUAAUCUAGUUGAGAUUUUAUCAAAGUUGUGAGAUCUAAUCUUAUUUUCUUUUCAUUUUAAUUUUUGUUUUUAUUCUUUUUCUAUUUUUGAGAAACACCACCUUCAUUGUUGUCUUCUUACAUAUUCAAGAGGGCCAUUGAAUAUCCUAAUUAGAUAACAUAUUGCUAAAUAACUCAAGUAUAGAUAUAAUUAUUUAAUUGGGUUAAUACAAUUAACAAUUAGCAUAUCUAUUUAUAUUAAGAAAUUGAGUAAUUUGGUUUAAAUAAUUCGCUUGCAAUUAUUAAUCAAAUUUGGUUGUUCUUCUCUUAAUAUAAUUAAUUAAUUAAUUCUACAUGCUUGUUGGGCUUGUUAAUUAAUUAGAAAUUAAUUUAGCACUUUAUAAAUUAAUUUAAUUUCAAGAAAGAAUUGGUGGGAUUCACUUAUUUGAAUAUUAUAACCAAACAAUAAAACAUUAAGUAAAUUACUUUUUAGAUCAAUGAUCAAUUUAAAAAUCUCUCAACUUAAAUUACCUUCACCUGAACUUUUAAACUAAUUGUUUAUUUCAUCAUUCUAUCACAGAUAUUUUAUUUCUUCUAAAGUUUUCUUGAAAUCAAAUUGACGAUUAAAAUUUCUUCCUUUUCUUUUUCAUUUUAAAUAAUUCUUUUCUUUUUUUUAUUUGAUAUUUAAAUUAAAUAAAUUUAAGAUUUUUAUGGGAUUGAUAUUCAUUCACUCUAUUUACAAAAAUUAUUAAAAAGAAAAAUUAGUUUUAAUUAACGGAUUUAAAUUAGUGAUUAAAUUAAAAAUAUGAUAAAGUUGAGAAAUUAUAAAAAUUAUCGUAGUGGUUUAUAAUUAAUUAAUUGUUUAUAGAUAGGAAUUUUCUGUGAAGAGGGAAGAGAAGUUUUUGUGACCUGUCACCGAAAUGUAAAAAAAUUAUUUCAUUUAAAUGGGUAGUAUAUACGACUUUCUGAAAAAUUAAUUAGGCUCUACAAGAAUUUUCCACUUAAAAUAUAUGUGGGAGAGAAAGAAUAACUUGUAUAAUACGUAAAGACUAAGAAGAUUCCAAUUAAGCAGGUCUUUUUGCUGAACAGUUUCCGAGAAAUACAUAUUUACAAUUGAUAUUAAUUGAAAUUAAUACAUUGAAUAUUUUAAAUCAAAUUAAAAUUUGUUAAAUAUAUAAAAUUAUGAAAACCAUAAUAAUUAAAUAUUUCAUUCGUUUUAUAAAGAUAUAUUUAUUUUUUUCAAAUUAUUAAUAUUUUUUUAAGAUGAUAAUAUAUUUAUUAAUUUUUUAAUAUAUCUAUAUUUAUUAUAUAUUGAAAUAUUAAAAUUUAUUAAUUAAAAAAAUUAGUAACAUAAUGAUAUUACAAAAAUUAGAUUGAUGAUGUGAGUUGAAUUGAGUUACGCUGCGAUUGGUUAGACCUGAAAAAAAGAGAAUAUGAGGAGGUGGUGGUGGAUAUUCACAGAGUCAUUCCGACGCUCAGGUCAGAAUAGAGAAAAUCUAAUGAAUUGUUUAGAACUUAGUAGUAUUUCAGAAUAGUGUACUUUUAUUUUUAUGAUUUUUCUCUUUUUAUACUGUAAAAUAGUGGAGAUGAUUAUAGUAUUUCUUAAUAAUCCGAAGAUGAUAUAGUCAGCUGUUUGAUAAGAGAUAUCAUCAAUUAAUAGGUUAACAAUUCCAUGAUUAUAAGCAUAAUGUGAUAUAUUGGGCUGUGAUUGAUAACAGUAAUUUCGUGUCGAGACUCGUCCUGUUGAGAGGGGGACGAGUUUUGGUGAUGAACCGAAUGUUAAGGUGUCCUAAUCUUUUUUUUCUUGGGUUGGAUCGCAUUUCUCACUUAUCUGAUCCCUGCCACGUAGUCCUAUUUCAUAAUAACAGUUUAUGACUUAUUUUGAGUGGUUGUUACGUGCAUAAAAUGUAAAUGAAGAGUAUAAGAAAACCUAUAAAAUUUAUUGCUUAUAUUCUCUUAAUCUAUGUGAAAAUUAUUACUGAUUUAUUGUUGUAAGAUUGAGUCAUGUGUGAUGAAAGAGAGAAAAUUGUCUCAUUUAUUAUUAUAUUAUAAAUUUUGUUAAUCCUGUAUUAAAUUUUCAUAAAUGACAAUGUUACUAUCAUCGUCUUAUUAACAAUAAUUUUUGUCAUUUUUAAAAAUUUGAAGCAUAAUUAGUAAAACCUAAAAUACAAAUCAUUAAUAAAUAGGUAAUUUCUAAUUGGACAAGUUAUCGAUGAUAUAACUUAUAAGUUCAAGUAUUCAACAUGUCAUGAUUUUAGUUCUAAGUGUAUAAUUAUCUAAUCUCAAUUAAUUCAGGUAUAUAACCAUGUCGUUAGCCAAAUAAUUUCUUAUAAAAAAAAAAAUUAUUGUUACAGGGUCAAUGUUUUUAGAGAAUGCAUCGGUAGAAGGAUAACUGCAAACCUCGAAAAAUUAAUCUUCUGUAGACCAUAAAAUAUAUAUGAAGGAUUAUCUUGGUAAAUUAAAAGAAGUGCAAAAAUUGACAGGUGAAAUGAUGUGAUUAUGCUUAUAUCUCCAAGCCAAUUAAAGGAAGAAUAAAUAUAGAAAAAAAAAAAAAAAAACUACUUUUUUAAACUAUAAUUUGCAUUAACAAGACCUAAAUGGAUAAGGUCAUAGACUAUGGGACUAAGAAGUCCAUAAAUCAUAUUAAAUCUACUACAGAUUAUACUUAUAGAUCAAACCACCCAAAUUAAACCAAAACUACUUUAGUUAUCAGAUAUGGGCGAGAAAAAUUAGUAAACUAAGUCUACCACUCCACCCCUCAUUAUCCUCUUAUCUGCAAUAGGUAAGAUAGCCAUUAAGAACUUUACAACUCCAUUGAGCAAAGCUCACCAAGGGUUAAAAACUACAUGGAAUACCAUAAAGUCCUCAAAAGGUAAGAAGACUAAGCUUCAUCCAAAUAUACAACAGACUCUAAAAAGUGAUGAUGUAAAUAUUGCAACUUCUUAAUUUCAUAGGAAAAACUUAUCUAGACUAGAUCUAUAUGAAUUUAUAGUGUAAAUACAAAUGGAGUUUUAAGUGAGCCCUAUUAUCAUUUUACACUGUGGGUCUAUUUAGACUCAGUCUAUAUAAGAAAUCAUAUUACUCAAUAUGGUUUCGAAGCUGAAGAUCCUAAGAUGCCACCUGAUAUGCCUGAGAUCCGAUGGAGAAGGAGAUGGAGACACGUGGUAAAGGCUUAAUUCAUGGGGAAGUUAAUGGCUUUGAUUGGGUGGAGUGAGAGUUAAUAAGGCUUACCCUUCUACUUUGUGGAGGUUGAGAUUUUUGGGAGAGAUUGAGAGUUUCUUAGAUCUAGGAUUGUUAAAAAAUUUGUCUAGAGAUAGUUCAUCUAGGGGUAUUAAUAUCUUGACCGUCUCAGGAUGUUCUAACGGGUUAUCCUAUCAGAUAUGAUGGUGGCGUGUUAUAGCAGAUAUGUCAAGUGGCUCAUUAAUAGUGGGCAGUCGACUAAUAAAUGAUGAGCCGCUUUGCCUUUAUCCUGUCCAUCACGCGCGUCUUUUCUAUUAGCCCUACUGCGCGUGUAAUUAUGACCCUAUGAAGGCUCUAUGCGCUUCGAGCAUAGGUGAGGUUGGCUCGCCUAUUCCAGGCAUGGAUAUGAUUAAAGGUGUAGGAGGUUUGAUCUGCACACGAUGUUAGAUGGGCCUUCUAUAGCUCGGUCAGACUGAAGUCCUAGUACGGGGACUCUUUUGUUUCUUUUGUACACGUGUCACGAUCUCAACGGGAUCCAUUAUUAUUAUAUUAUCACCACCUUUAGGAUAUGGAAGCAUAUUUCCCUUCAAGCCAACCAAGUUUUCAUGAAUUGCUUAAUUCAUGUGUCCUAUUUCUCUAUCUUUUUCAAUAGAUCUUAAAUAAUUUAGGUUGCUUAAGUGGAUAAUGGCUCAUCAUGUUAGCAAAAAUACUUGGGGUAAGCAGAAUUCGGUUUAAAUUCAAAUUAUUAACUAAAUCGAUUCAAUUUGAAAAUUUAAUUUGAUUUUAUUUUUUAUUUAGUUAGAUUGCGUUUAAAUUUUUAGAAAUUUCAAUUUAAUCAGUUGGCUUUGAUUUUAAAAAGAAAAUUUUGGUCAAAAUCUAAACAAACGAAUAGUAAAAAGCAAACAAUAUCGUUUGUUUUUUAUAUUAUUUAAUAGUUACUAAUGUCUAUAAUUAUAAAAAUUAUCCUAAAACUUUCUUAUUAUUCAUUUUUUAGUCACAAUAUUUAUUUAAAAAAUAAUUGCUUUCUAUAAAUUAUUUUAUUUAUUUCUUAUUUUUUAUGUAAUGUAUUACAGAAAAUUAUUAUAUUUUUUAUGAGAACACCAAUAAGGAUCUACACUCAAGAACAACGGUUUAGAGUGAUCAACAUGUUCCAUAAUUUAUCCAAUUAUCUCUAGAUCAAAAUAUAAAAGGAAAUGAUUUGUAUUGCCUAGUGAGACAUAUUAUUGGAGUCAAUGGACUAAUGCAAAAAAUAAUUUGGUGUGGGUCUAUUAACAGAUGAAGAGAGAUAAAUGACUCUUAGGUAAACUUUGCCUACUAUCAAUGAAAAGGGUAUUCUAGAUAUAUGGUGGCAUAAAUUGAAUCACAAUGCUAGUGGUGUCUAUAGGCGUUUAGUUCAAAAUUUCAUCCAUGAAUAUACUCAUUGGAUAGCUAAAAAACUAUGACUCAUUCUAUCGGACUAUCUAUACUAGAUAGUAAGUUUAGUAAUAAGACCAUCACUUGUAAAAAUUUUAAAGUGUGAGUUAAUUUAUAUGGCUUUAUUUAAGUUUAUUUACUUUUAUAUAAUGAUAGUUUAGUAAUAAAUUUAGAUCGAAAAAUAAAAUUUAAUAUUUUUAACCACACUAUAUAAUUGAAAGAUAAAUUGAACCAUUUUGCCAAAAUUACAUUCUAAUGGAGAUUGUAAUUCAAUUCCAAUGAAGUAGAUAAUAUUUUAUGAAGAGAAUAUACAAUAAUAUUUUUAUUUUAAAUCAACAUUUAAAUUUAAACAAAAAUUCUAGAUUAAAUUAAUUUAUAUUUAUGUAUUAUACUUAAUUUGUUUAAAAAUAUUACCAUAACUCAUAUGGAGUUGUGAUAACUAACUUAAAUGGUACACGGUUAAGAACAAAUACAGCAGUAAGCAAUGCAUCACUCCAAUAGGUAACAAGCAGAUUUUCUUAGCCAUCAUAGACCUAACCAUUUUUAGUAAGGUUAUAUUUUCAUCGUUCUGCAAUAUUAUUUUGUUGCGGUGUAUAAGAAAUAGUCAACUGUCAUUGAAUUUCCUUUUCAUCACAUAACCUUUUAAACUCAUCAGUAAAGAAUUCUCUACCUCGAUCGAUCCUAAGAGUUUUAAUUUUUCUUUCUAACAGAUUCUCACUUGAGUUCAUAAACUUAGUGUAGCAGCUUAAAAUUUCGGACUUUUGAGAAAUCAAGUAAAUAUAUUUGAAUUGAGUGAAAUUAUCAAUAAAUAUAAUGAAAUAAAUAGCACCAUUUCUAGCCCUUAUAUUCAUUAGACCACAUAUGUCAUAGUAAAUUCAUUGUAAUGGAGCCUCGGCUCUUGUGCCUUUUCUAAAUGAUUUUCUUGCUAUUUUUUGAGUUAAGCAAUAUUUACAAAUAGAUAAUUAUACUUUGUCUAUAUUUCCUAGUAAGCUUUUUUGGCUAACCUAUUCAUACAUUAUUGGCCAAUGUGGUCAAGCCUAGCAUGCCAUAUAUUUACAUCAAUUGAUAAAUGAUCAAAAGAAGAUGUAAAUAAAGAAAAACAUAUAUUAUUAGAAGUUUGAAUAACAUCCAGUACAAUAAAACCAUCAAGAAAAUAUCUAGUAUAAUACUUAAUUUGUUCUAAAUACAAAUCAACACCAUGAGAAUGAAAUACGAUAUUAAAACUUAACUUAAUCAACAUAAACACAGACAUCAAAUUUCAGUGGAUAGCUAGAGCAUAAAGCAUAUCAUGUAGUAGAGGGUAAUCCGACUUAAAUGUUCUAAAACCUUGGAGGUGUACUGCUUUUUUUCACAAUCCUUCUCAUAAGUGUGAAAAAUUAGGUCCAAGGGAAAGGAAAUGUAUCUUUAUAAGAUACUGAGAAUAGUCUAAAGGACAUAUAUUUGUAGGUGAACAAGAUAGUGGCAUAGUAAUUGAAUUUGAAUCACGAUAUGUCAUAUUCUUAGAAAAUAAAUUUCCUAGACAAUAUAAGAUAGUUCAACAUUUGUCUCUCUAUGAAACUGAAGACCAAAAAACUUCCACUAUAAAACCUGAAAUGGAUUCUUUUCCUAGUGGGGAAUAUUUCAAAUAAUAAUAAACCAAUUCCAAUUGACAUUGAAAUGCACCCUGUAGUGAAUUCAUUAGAUAUUUCUAGUCCUAGUGGGAGUGAUUCUAACAUUGAUAAAUCAAUUUAUCAAUUUCAACCGUGAAGAACUAGUGGUCCAUAUAUUCUUCGUUAUCGCUUUGAGGUCGAAUUAUUUCACAAGAUGAAGAGGAGUCAAGAAAUGUGAACGAGACUCUUAUAUUCCUACUAAAGAUAAAUGGAUUAAGGCAAUGUAGGAAGAAAUAUAGUCUAUACAAUCAAAUCAAGUGUGGGAAUUGUCUAAUUUACCUACAGGAUAAAAAAACUAUUGGGAAUAAAUGGGUUCUCAGAAUCAAGCGUAAGGCUGAUGGAAGUAUCGAAAGAUACAAAACUCACUUAAUAGCCAAAGGAUAUACAUAACAGAAAGGAAUUGAUUAUGAGGAAACUUUUUCUCCCGUUAUGAGAUUUACCUUUAUAAGGAUAUUCUUGUCUAUUAUAGCUAGUUUAGAUACAGAAUUAUAUCAAAUGGAUUUUAAGGUUAUUUUUCUCAAUAGAGAAUUAGAAGAAGAAAGCUAUAUGGAAUAACCUAUAAGUUUUAUUAAGAAAGGUCAAGAACAUUAGGUUUAUAAACUUAGAAGGGCUAUUUAUAGCCUUAAGUAGUCUACUAGAUAAUAGUACAUUUGAUUUCAUGAUGCGAUUAUGUUAUAAUUUCACUAUGAGUGAUGAAAACUAUUGUAUUUAUACUAAAAAAUCUAAGGAUAAUUUUGUGAUCUUAUCACUGUAUGUUGAUGAUACACUUAUAGUUAGCAGUGACAAAGAAUAUGCUAUGAAAAUAAAAGAGUGUCUAUAAUCUAAAUUCGAGAUAAAAGAAAUGGGUGAAGCAACAUAUAUUGUUGGAGUUAAGAUUUCAAGAGAUCGUUCAAAGAAAUUAUCAUCUCUUUCAUAAGAGCCAUAUAUUUAAAAAAAUUCUUGAAUGAUUUAAUAUGCAAUAUAGUUAGCCCAUAGACAUUCUUAUUUCAAAAUGCAAAGCUUUAAGUUGAAAAAUAUGUCCUAAGACUCCACAAAUGAGUAGAGUUCCUUAUGCUAAUGCAAUCAGUAGUCUAAUGUACAAUAUGAUGUGUACUAGACCCGAUAUCUACUAUGUUACUCGAUAUCUACUAUGUUAUUAGAUUAGUUAAUAGAUAUCAAUGAUCCAAGACAUCAAUAUUGGAAAACAGUUAAAAGGAUACUAAGGUAUCUAAAAAGCACCGCCGAUUACUCCUUGUGUUAUCAAGAAAAAAAUUUGCUACUCAUGUUGACUAUAGAUGUGGUUUGAAUGAGAGAAAUUCUACCUGAGGAUAUGUUUUCUUGCUCAAUAAUGGAGUUGUAUCAUAAAAUAGUAAGAAACAAUCAUAUAUAGCUCAUCUACUAUGGAAGUUGAGUUCAUGGCAUUUUUAGCCGCUAUGUAAGAAGCUAUAUUGGUUAAAGUGUUUCCUAGUACAUUUGGGAGUAUAUGAUAAUGUUGUUGAAUCGUGAAGGUUAAUUAUAAUAGUCAAGCUAUAAUCACCUACACAAAGGAUUCUAGGUAUCAUGGAAAAAUUAAGUAUAUUGAUAUAAAAUAUAAUUUUAUAAGGGACAUGGUUACUAAUAAAAAAGUGAAUAUGAAGUAUAUAUUUAUGCAUGAUAUGACUUUGAUCCCUUUACAAAUAGGAGCAUAAACGAACUAAAUUGUUCGUGAGCUAUUCGAGACUUGUUUUAAUAAAAACUCGAUUGGAUUCGGCUCAUUUUUAAAUGAGUAGAGCUUGAGUUUAAUUUUUAGGCUCGUUAAGUAAACGAGUUGAGCUUGAGCUCCACAAUAUUCGACUCAUUAAGCUUCGUGAGCUCAACUUGUUUCUAAAUUUCCGAGCAAACUCGCGAAUAAACUCGUUAAAUAAACUCGUGAAUAUGUUUAAUAAUAGGCUCUUAUUUAUAAAACUCAUCAACUGACUCAUUUUUCUAAGUUUUUUAUAUUAUUUUUAUAUUUUAUAAAUUUGUAGUUAUAUUUAUUUAAAUUUUAUUUUUAAAAAAUAAUAUAUUAUUUAAAAUUAUAAUAUAAUCACUAUAAAAUAAUAUAUUUAUAAAAUAUAAUUAUUUAUAAUUGAUGCGGAACCCCAGUCUAUUAAAGACUGAAACGACACAUAUCCUAGUAAAAGGAACUUAGUUCAGAAAAAUAAUUCCCCAAUCUAAAGCACCCUUAAUUAACAUGCAAUUAAGAACACUUAUAAUUGAUUGAUUUUAAGAGCAGUAAGAAUAACAACCAUACAAGUUAGUAUCAAACCUUAUUCGUGAUGCCAUGUCAAGAACCAAGAUCUCUCUUAAACUCUCAAAGAAGAAUUGCAUAAAGCAAUUGUAUUGAAUAAUUGAUAAUCUUUGUACAAUAUGGAAAAAGAUAUGCUUUAUAUAACCUAAAUAAAGACACAUGAUCUUUGCCACUCUCUACCACUAUGCAUUGACCCGUGAUCUAUGCCACUACCCAAUACUCUGCAUGGAUCCAUGAUCUAUGUCACUAUUCACUACUGGAUAACUACCCACUACUGGUUAACUACCAACUGCUAAAUAACUACCACUUCUAAAUAACUACCCACUAUAACUACAAAAUUUGAAUUGUCAAUAAGGACACAUUUGGCUUAAUUGACUUGGAAUGACCAGAUUGUUCAGCUUCAACAUAUUUCUUCAUGAAUCCUUGAAGUGUUUCCUUCAACCUCUUCGAUCUCAACCUUGUAAUUGGUCCUUGAGGCAAUGCUAGCUCAUCAUUUUUGGUGUUGUUGGUUGUGCUUACAUCAAUAAUUUAAAUCUAAAUUGUAAUAUGAAAACAACUUAAUAUUAUUAUGAUAUAAAAAUAAAUAAAUUUAGAGUCUUAUUCUUAAAAUAAAAUAAUAAUUGAUAUGUAAUGUUAUAAAUACUCUUUCAAUCAUGAUGUAAGUAAUAUAUGGUGAUAAAUACUAUCAAUUUUUAAUAUAUAUUUAUAUUAUUUUUAUAUUUUUUCAAUGUUAAACUUCAAAAGUUAAAGUUAUAAUAAACUAUAUAAUUACUACUAUUAUUAUAUAUAUCCCUUUUCCUUUUUUUUGAAAAAAUUUCAAUGAACUUUAAUUUUGAAGAGAUUAGAAGUCAAGUUUUAUUUAAUUUAGUUUUUAAAUAUUAAAUAAUAAAUUGUUUUUCAAUGUAUAACACAUUUAUUUAGAAUGCCUUAAAAUCAUUUAGUAAUAUAAAUUUGAAUUAAGAUAUUUUAAAAAAGAAAAAAAUUGUAUUUAAUUAAAAUUUCUUAAAAUCAUAAGAUGCUCUUACAAUUAAAUAUUUUCUAAGAAAAACCAUAUUAAAAAGAAAAAUAUUAAUAAAUGUUAAAUAAAAUACACUUUUAUUGAUAAAUUAUAAAAUUUUAACAAUUUUAAUUAUAUAUAACAUAUUAAGAGAAAAUUACUGAUAUAAAAUAAACUAAAUAAAUACUCUUAAAAAAAAAAAAAAAGAAAAGCAAAGACAACAAAAAUAAAAAAUAUGGAACAAUCCAAUCCCAAACCGGAAGAAGAGAAGGAAGGAGAGGUUCUCCUUCCCUAUAAAAACGAAAGCCCCUUUCGCUCUGUAUCAUUAUUACAUAUUUUAUGAUAUGUUGUGGGAUCCAUAGUAAUUGUGGGUCUCAAGAGAGUUUAAAAUAUUUUAAUUAUAGUAAAAAAUAUAUUUAGUUAUAUCCAUUUUUAGUGACAUUUGAGUUUGAGUUUAUAAUUCGAGCUCGAGCUUUCUAAUCAAGUUCAAAUACGAGUUUAUUAUGAACCGAGCUCAAAUCGAGUUCGAAUUCGUUUAAUAUUUUAUGAGUCGAGCUCGAGUUUGAGUUUUAAAAUUUUUUUUAAUAAAUGAGCCUGACCUUUUUAAAACUUGACUCGGUUCGAUUCGAUUACACCCCGAUUUACAAAGCCUAUUGCUAAGGAUAUUCUCAAUAAAUACAUUAAGUCAUUAGGUUUGUGUAGACGUACUUGCAUUAUGUAUUUUCUCUAACAUAUUUAUGUAAAUUACAUUAUCAAUAAGAAUGAUAUUUUUGCUUAAUUAUUUUGUGAAUUCAUGUACAUACUAGUAUAUAUGUUUUAGAAUAUAUAUUGAGAUUUGAAAUAGUAUGUCAGACAGAUAAAAGAUUGGCCUUUUAACACAAGAAACCUUCUUAAUUAUCCAAAUGAUUAAUAAAGGAAAGAUAAUUAUAAACUUAUUAUAAUCGAUCAUAAUGAUAUAGAGAGCUUAAAAGUUUAUAAUAUUAAUGUCGUCUAUCGAAAAGAAUUUAAUCAUAUAUGAUUAAGUUAACUAAUAUGCUUUAAAUGCUAAAUUUGAGUUCAAUUAAGUGUGAUUCUGAGUAGAUAUAUGAACUCAAAAUUAAAUAUUGGAUAUCUUAACUAUCAUGUGCAGAAUAUUAAAUACUAUAAAGACAUAUACUUCGUGAGAAAAGGAGUAAUAUUUGAUUCAUACCACAUAUGCGAUAAAUGUCCAAUUAAAGCAAUACAAGUUAAAUCUCUACUUGAUAUUGUAUAAAGUCUUAAAGGUUAUAAGUAAUCUAUAUCUUGUAACCUCAUGACUCCAAUCAAUUACUCAAGUUUUAUUUUAAUAUUUGUUAUCUUAGAUUGUUUCCAAAGGAUUAUGUAUGAUUCAAUCUGAUAAAAUAUUUUUAGAAAAACAUAUAAAGUUAAAAUUAAAAGAAUCAUGAGAAAAGGGAGAUUAUUAUAGUUUAUCACAUUAUUUGUAUUCAUUGAUCGAUAAAUUAUGUUUUAAUUGGAAUGAAAAAUAAUUAUAAACUCAAAUUAUUAUAAAAAGAGGUUGUGAAUAAUCUAGGGUACUGUAUAUUGUAUCUAUUCUAAGCUCCAUGUAGCGAGAUGCUAUAUUAUUCUAACAGAUGUAUAACAAUUGAGCUUUCCAAGUAUGCACUAGUCACAUAAUCUAUUUGUAAAGUAUAAAAAUUGCUCAAAUUUUGAAAUGAGAGUUGUCCCAUAAUGUAUGAGUAGGAGAUGAAAGAAUUUAAGUCUGAGUUACACAUGGGGUCAACUUGAAUUCAUUUAGUAAAUAAUAAAAAAAAAGACGUUAAGUAGAAGUUAACAAUAAAAAGAGGUAUCUUCUUCUUUUUCUUCAUAAGACAUACAUAAUUAAAGGGAAAAAAAAGGAAAAAGUGGUUCCUUUUAUAUUGUUUGUUUCUUACACAUAUAUCACAAGAGAUAUAUAAGAAAAAGAAAGAAGUAGAAGAGGAAGCAUUGAUGCAUUCUUCACACUCAAAACUCUCAACAUUUUGAACGACUAUUUUCUGCAAUUAUAAGGUACAUUGGAUUAUGAUUACGUGAUUUUAAUUCACGUUUUAAACAUGUGAUUGACAUUUAGAGUAUGUAAAAUAAAUGGAGAUAGAAUCCUUAGCGUUAUACAUGGUUUAUGGGUAAGAAACCAUGAAUUUUUUUUAAUUUUUCUUUAUUGGGAUUAGAGCCCUAAUAUUUAUUUUUCUGGUCUUCUGUAUGAGUUUAAUAUGUUAUAAUAUUUAUUUUGAAUUAAUAUAUUUUCAAAUUUUUUUAGUAAAAAGAUUUCAAUUUAUGAUAAUAUGAUUGGAUGCAUUAUUUUAACCUUUAGUAUCUCUCUAAAUGAUUAGUAUUAUUGAAACAACAUGUCAUUUUAAAUAAAAUAAUGUAUCGUUCAUCUAAAAUAACAUGUCAGUUGACUUGAAAUAACAUAAAUUUUCAAAUGAAGUGACGUGUUAUUUCAUUCAAAAAGAUGUAUCAUUUCAACUAAAAAGAAAAAUUUUUUAAAAUGAAAAGACAUGUCUUCUCAACCAAAAAGAUAUAUCAUUUCAACUAAAAAUACAUGUUUUUUAAAUAAAAAUAGCGUCCUUUCAAAUUGAAAAGUUGUACCCUUUCAACAAAAAAUAUGUUUUUAGCUAAAGUGACACAUUAUUUAUUCCUCACAUGAGUGUUAUAUAUGUAUGGAUAUAUAUCCUCACCCACAUGCAUUUGAGUAGUAUAAGGGCAUAUGCCACGGUUCUAAAUUUUUUUUUAUAGUGAAAGAAUUUUUAAAUAUUUUUAGUGACCUUAGUAAAAUUUUAGACACUUUAUAUUUUUAUAUUAUUUAUUUUUUGAAAAUAAAUUAAUUUUUAUUGUAAAAAAUUAUAUAAAUUGUCUAAAAUUUAUUUUAACUAUUUUUGUCACAUUCCAAAAUCCAAGGAUAGAAACAGAGAAACUAUUAGAGUUAAAUUGUACCAUUAUAAAGUUAGGGUAAUUAGUUUCAGUGAAGGUGCUAGCUUAUCCCCAAAUUAAUUAGAGAAUGUGCUAACUUAAACCCAAGCUAAUUGAGGGAGGUGCUAGCUUAUCCAUAACUGCUUGACACACAAUUUGUCUAUAGGUAGAGCACUAAAAGUUGUAUUUAAAGGUCCUACUUGCAUUUCAUAUAGAGUUAUAUGUGCAAAAACAGAGUUAAAAUAAGAAUGACUAGUAAUAAUACUUUAAUAUCUUUAAACUGUAAUAACUGAAUCAUAAAAAGUCCAAAUAAGAAAAUGAACAUAUCUUAAAAUAAAACAGAUAAUGUGAUAAGCAAGUCGGAAUCAAAUCAUUUUUGGGAGGUGCUUAAGGGUUUUCAUACAUAUUAACUUGAGGUGCUGGUUAAAAUCGAUGUACUUAUCUAUAUAAAAUGGAUUCUAAAGGUUAGAAGUGUAACUUUAGUAGGUCAAUCAAUGAAUAUUGAAAGUUUAAAAAUUAAAUUAAAACAUGAAGAAAAGUUUAGUAGGUUAAGGUGUGAAUAUGGAAAGUUUAAAAGUAAAUUUCAAAUUUAGUCCUCUAUUUUUUCCACAUCUUCACAUAAAUCCUCCAUGUGUCACCUAGCUAUGCAUGAAAGAAAUGACUAAGCUAAAAGAAUAAGGUGGUCUUCAAUUCCUUCAUGGCAGUCGAACCUACACCAUGAGAAAGAAAAAAUUAAUUUUUCUUCUUUUUUCCAUUCCCACCUUAUUUCUCCAUGAAGACAAUCCAUGCAAAAUCCCUUCCUAAGUGAAAUAACUAGCAAAGGAACCAUAGAAAAAGAUGAAAGAAUGAGAUAAGUUUAGGUGCUUAAGUGGUAAGUAAUAGAAAUUGAAAAUUAGAUAAGGUAAACAUGUUCUUCCAUACUUUCAAUCAAUUUUUAUGUUGUUAAAUGAAUUAAAACUCUUUUUUUUUUUCUUGUUCCUUGUAAAGAAAUAUUUCAAAAGGAGGAAAGUACAUCAAACGAGUUUUUGAGAGAAAAGAACCAAGGCAGAAAAGCCAGGUUCGGCCGCCGAACAUGCAUGGCUUUCGGUUUCACGUGUGGCCGCCGAAGGUGGUCUGGCCAGCCACCUAUAAAAGGCCCUCAGUCGGUUGAAAGGAUAAGGAUCGCCUGUUUCUUUCACUUUCUAAGGUGAGACCCUGUCCUUCUUGAGUAUUCUUCAUGUUUUCAUCAAAUCUUGCAAAGGUUUGAUUGAUUUUUAUGUUCUUUUGAAGGUUUUGAGCUAAAAACAUUAAGUUUUGAAGUUUGGAGAGUUUGAAGGAGAGUUGCUCCAUAUCUCCACGUUAGGAUCGUUCCUCUUCUUGAUUUCAAGAGGUAAGUGAAGAUCCUGAACUUAUUUUUAUGAUUCAUGAAGGUUUUAUGAGGUUUUGGGGGAGAGUUGCAUGAAUAGGGUAAAGAGUGAGUUUUUGAUGUUUUUGUGAGUUAAGCUUGUACAUGUGUUAUGUGUUUUGUUUUGUUGGGGUUUUAAGGUAGUUUUUGACCCCUUUGAGCAUAUGCUUAGGUGUAUGCAUGUUGAGAAAUUGAGGUGUUUGAGUUUGGGAGAGUUUGGUGCAAUUUGGCGUGAGGCAGAACAGGUUCUGCCUUCUUGAUGAACCCAGCUUCGGCCGCCGAAGAAUGGUUCGGCCGCCGAAUGUGUUGAGGAGGUGGCUUCGGUUGCCUAAUCUUGCCCCCGAGCCUUUGGACUUUUGGCUCUGGAGGGGAGUUUCGGCCGUCGAAGGUGCCGCCGAAGGUUAGGGACUUUCGUCUCUGGCGUGCCUUUCAGCCCCCGAAACUUUCCCCCGAAAGGGUUCGGCUGCCGAAAGUAGAGAUUCAGCCGCCGAAGGUGCAUGAGUUUCGGCUCUGGAGAGGACUUUCGGCCGCCGAACCUACCGCCGAAAGUGCCCUGUCCAGCCUUCCUUUGCCUGUUUUGCAUGAUUGAUUAAAGGUGUCUAAGGGGAUUCUUGGGGAGUUUUAUAGAGAUAUUCUCGAGCUAGUUUGGUCCCUCAUUUGAGUCCAUCUGUGUAGGCACAGACCAGAGGAACCAAAGAGAGCAACAGUGAGUCAGUCCAGAGAUAGCCAGAGGUGAGUGAAACUAAACUUAAUUCUUUUAAUUGAGAAAUUGAAUGCUUUUAGCAUAUUUCAUGCAUCAUGAUUAUGCAAUAGGUUAAUUGCAUUUAGAAUCCACGAAUAUGUUGCAUUGCAUACUUAUUUGCUGAUGUGGGUGAAUGCUGAAUGAUCCAAUAGUUCCAGACAGGAAGUCCAGGUGCCCAGUCUACGCCCUGGCAGGUAUAGUAAAGUCCAGGUGCCCAGUCUACGCCCUGGCAGGUAUAGAAAGACCAGGUGCCCAGUCUACGCCCUGGCAAAUGGUAAGUACAGGUGUUAUAUACACGUAUACAUAUACAGUACAGGAAGACCAGGACCCCAUUCUACGGCCUGGCACGGAACAGAUACUGGAACUAUGUGGUGACGGGUUUACCCUUGAUGUGAAUUGUCUGUGAUAUGAUGCAUUCCAUAAGAUCAUGUUUUAAUGACUUGUUUUCUUGUUCUACUCACUGGGCUAUAGAGCUCAUCCCACUCCCUUAACCCCAGUUUUGCAGGAUCAGUGUACAGGGAAAGUCCAGCAGGGUACAGGAAGAAAACAGAGUUGUGUAAUAAAAGAGUGUGGACAUGUAAUAUUAAAGAGAUGUACUAGUUGUUGUGCUUGACUUAGUUAAUUUGUAUUGUAAAUCCUUUUGUACACAUGGUCUGUUUUUAUGUAUCUGUCCAGUUGAUGAGUAUGGAUGACCAGGUUUAACAUAUACUGUGUGAACUCAGCCAGAGUUUUGAUGCGUACUCUGGUAAGGGAGUCUGUGUACAGAGAUAGUGCAUGCACAGGUUGAGCCUUGGAUCAGAGAAAAGUUUUUAUUUUCACAGAAAGUGUAAGAUCAUAUAUGGGAUUUACAGGUACACAGGGAGUAUAUCAGGCUUGCUACGGGUUUCGGUGACCUUAAGUCGACCUGAAUCCUAGCGCCGGUGGCGGUUCGAUUUUCGGGUCGUUAUAGAUUGGUAUCAGAGCCCAAGGUUCAAAUGAUCGGACCUAUAGAGAGAGUUUCGGGCUCAUAGAGGUUAGACGUGGUCAAGCACAAUAGGAAAUCAUGUCCACUAGGAUAGGGUGUUGAGUCCUAUCUGUUUGCUGAUAUGAAAUGCCAUGAUUUAUGCAUGUGCAUUAUUGAUAUGUGAUGUUUAUAUGCUAAUGUGUUAUGUUAUGUGUUUGUUUUACAGAGAUAAGAUGAGAGGAACUCGUCGAUCUGCACGAUUGACUGGAGUCCCACCAGAUAGUGAGAGAAUAGAUGCUCGUCCUCCUGCAUUGCCAAGGGCAAGGUCUCAGAGAUCUAGCAGGGAAGGUAUGUCAAUGGACCCUAGAAGGUCUUUAGACGAGAGCAGAAGAGGAACAGCUAGAGGAGGGAGAUCAGAGGAAGUGAGGGAGGCCAUGAGGUUGAUCAGUCAGUAGAUGAAAGCAUGGGUGUAGGCAGAUCGGAAGAAGGUAUGGGAGAGUCUCUGAGAGGAGCUCAGGCCUCGGGGUUUGGUUAUCCAGCCUUUCCUCAUGACCCAGGGUAUCUGAUGGGAGGUGUGUCGGAGUACUCUAGUUUUGUCCUAUAUCCUACUUACAUGCCAUAUAUGCCUUAUCCUCAUUAUUACCCACCAUAUCCUAUGUAUCCACCCUCACCUAUUGUAAUACUCGGCUAGAGUCCAGCAUCGGAAUUCCUGUCGUUCGGUGGAAUCUAGGAUGUCGAAAUUCUCUAGACGGGUAGGAUUUAUGAUUUUCUAAAGUAAUGUAGUAUGUUUUUUUUUUAUGUUUUAACGUUAAAUGGAACUAAGCGUUUGAAAGAAAAGCAACAAGGAAGAAAAGCCAGGUUCGGCCGCCGAAGGGAAAGUUUGGCCGCCGAACAUGCAUGGCUUUCGGUUUCACGUUAGGCCGCCGAAGGUGGUCUGGCCAGCCACCUAUAAAGGCCCUCAAGCGGUGGAAGGAUAAGUAUUCACUUUUCUUUCACUUUUCAGAGGUGAGACCAUCUCUUUCUUGGAGUUUCUCAUGUUUUCAUCAAUCUUGCCAAGUUUUGAUUGGUUUUAAUGUUAUUUUGAAGGUUUUGAGCUAAAAACCCAAGAUUUGGAAGUUUGGAGAGUUUGAAGGAGAGUUGCUCCGAAACUCCACGUUAGGAUCAUUCAUCUUCUUGGUUUUAAGAGGUAAGUGAAGAUCCUGAACUUGUGUUUAUGAUUUAUGAAGGUUUUAUGAGGUUUUGGGAGAGAGUUGCAUGAAUAGGGUAAAAAGUGAGUUUUUAGUGUUUUGUUGAUAAAAGCAUGUUCAUGUGUUAUGUGUUUUGUUUUGUUGGGGUUUUAAGGUCGUUUUUGACCCCUUUGAGCAUAUGCUUAGGUGUAUGCGUGUUGAGGAAUUGAGGUGUUUGAGUUGGGGAGAGUUUGGUACAUUGUGGCGUGAGGCAGAGCAAGGUUCUGCCUUGCUGAUGAACCCAGCUUCGGCCGCCGAAGAAUGGUUCGGCCGUCAAAUGUGCUGAGGAGGUGACUUUGGUUGCCUAAGCUUGCCCCCGAGCCUUUGGACUUUCGGCUCUGGAGUGAGUUUCGGCCGCCGAAGGUGCCGCCGAAAGUUAGAGACUUUCGUCUCUGGAGUGCCUUUCAGCCCCCGAAACUGGCCCCCCGAAAGGGUUCGGCGGCCGAAAGUAGAGAUUCGGCCGCCGAAGGUGCUUAAGUUUCGGCUUUGGAGAGGACAUUCGGCCACCGAACCUGCCGCCGAAAGUGUUCUGUCCAGCCUUCCUUUGCAUGCUUUGCAUGGAUGUUUGAGUGAGUUUAAGGGGAUUCUUGGGGAGUUUAAUAGAGAUGUUCUUGAGCUCGUUUGGUCCCUCAUUUGAGUCCACCUGUGUAGGCACAGACCAGAGGAACCAGAGAGAGCAGCAGUGAGUACUGCUCCAGAGUGUACAGAGCCUGCAGAGUCAGUCCAGAUAGCCAGAGGUGAGUGGAACUAAACUUAAUACUCGUUUUAAUUGAGACAUUGAAUGUUUUUAGCAUAUUUCAUGCACCAUGAUUAUGCAAUAGGUUGAUUGCAUUAGAAUCCACAAAGAUGUUGCAUUGCAUACUUAUUUGUUGAUGUGGGUGAAUCCUGAAUGAUCUAAUAGUUCCAGACAGGAAGUCCAGGUGCCCAGUCUACGCCCUGGCAGGUAUAGUAAAGUCCAGGUGCCCAGUCUACGCCCUGCAGGUAUAGUAAAGACCAGGUGCC